UACGUAGGGUGCGAGCGUUAAUCGGAAUUACUGGGCGUAAAGCGCGCGUAGGCGGCUUGUUAAGUCAAAUGUGAAAUCCCCGAGCUUAACUUGGGCAUUGCAUUCGAUACUGGCAAGCUAGAGUAUGGGAGAGGAAGGUAGAAUUCCAGGUGUAGCGGUGAAAUGCGUAGAGAUCUGGAGGAAUACCGAUGGCGAAGGCAGCCUUCUGGCCUAAUACUGACGCUGAGGUGCGAAAGCAUGGGGAGCAAACAGG
RNAcentral lists this ribosomal RNA (253 nucleotides) under uncultured bacterium. RNAcentral describes it as "partial 16S ribosomal RNA". It matches the Rfam family "Bacterial small subunit ribosomal RNA", at positions 524 to 776 of the family's 1533-position model. The record is from RNAcentral.